Long non-coding RNA from Cervus elaphus (red deer), 1267 nucleotides. RefSeq lists it as uncharacterized. The transcript is spliced from 4 exons. The record is from RefSeq and is a predicted model, not a curated record. Lineage: Eukaryota; Metazoa; Chordata; Mammalia; Artiodactyla; Cervidae.
GCCGCGACGAGCCAGGCGGCGGCGGCAACGGCGGCAACGGCGGCAACGGCUCCUGCGAGCGGGGAGGGCAAAUGAGCCGGAUGUACAGGGUAACGGCGAGGAGGGGGAAGGGGCAACGCCUGGAAGUGAACGCCGCGGGCCUGUCCGGCCGUGCGCACGCGCCGCGCGCCCGCCGCGCCAGGUAAACCGUCUUCCUUCCCCGCCCCCUUUGCUCCCGCCCCGCCCCUAGGGGGCGGGGCGGGGCCGGAGACAGGCGGUCUGGAAGGCUCCGCGAGGAGAGGAAGGGGACGCGGCUACCUUCUCCGCUACCCCGCCCUCCUUAAAGGGGCAGCAUCUUAAAGGCUGAGACGGCUUCUGGGUGGACCCGCGUCUUGCAGCCUUCUCAUUUUACAGAUGGAAAACUGAGGCUUGUCCAAGAUCACACAAAACUGAAAGUGAGAAGAUAGUCACCUAUGGACCAGAAAGCAGGCCCUCACCAAACUUCAAACCUGCCAGCCUGGAUCGUGGGAUUCCCACCUCCACAACUGGUGAAGAACACGAACACAGGGAGUUAGAGUCCCACAUGCUGAUAACUCCAUCAAGAGAGAAGAAAGGUUUUUCUCUUCCAGCUGCAGAAUGAGAACCUCCAGGGAAGGAGUAAUAAUAAAAUAGGUCCAGUCUGAGUCUUAAAAAAGGAAGCAAAUAUAAUAGCUCCAAACAUGAUUACAGGUAAGGCAAAAAUACUGGAGAGGGUGGCCAUUUCCUCCUCCGAGGUCCUUCCAGAGCCAGAUAUCAAACCCAUGUAUUUUGUAUCUCUUGCAUUGACAGAUGGAUUCUUUACCGCUGGGCCACCUAGGAAGCCCCAUGGGUAAACUGAAAAAUGAAACUCCUGGACUUGCAAACCCAAGAGCAAAACCAUAGCUUCCUAAUCAGUUUAUUUCCCAGGAAGCCCUCUCUUAACUGUAAACUGUGAGCUCCUUGGGAGUGUCUUUCUUCCUUUUUAGCUGACCUAGUUACUGCUCAGUCAUAAUUUGUUACAUAAUUGAAAGAGUAAAUGGUAAGCCAGCAUGUUUAAAUGAUUGUUCUAUAGUCCAACUCAGCAAUAUGGAUCAUAUUUGGAGGAUUUUGAGUUUUUCUUUUUCUGAAAGAUGAAUCAUUUGAAACAAAAAGAAUGUAAUAAAACAACAUGACUAUUAAUCUCUAGUGUCUUAGAAACAUCUUUAUUAACAUUUUGUUUUCUUGAUGAAUACAAUUCUCAGAAAAAUUAUUCAGAAUUUUAUAACACUGU